CCGAGGAAAAGAAAUCAACCGAGAUUCCCCCAGUAGCGGCGAGCGAACGGGGAGCAGCCCAGAGCCUGAAUCAGUGUGUGUGUUAGUGGAAGCGUCUGGAAAGGCGCGUGAUACAGGGUGACAGCCCCGUACACAAAAAUGCACAUGCUGUGAGCUCGAUGAGUAGGGCGGGACACGUGGUAUCCUGUCUGAAUAUGGGGGGACCAUCCUCCAAGGCUAAAUACUCCUGACUGACCGAUAGUGAACCAGUACCGUGAGGGAAAGGCGAAAAGAACCCCGGCGAGGGGAGUGAAAAAGAACCUGAAACCGUGUACGUACAAGCAGUGGGAGCACGCUUAGGCGUGUGACUGCGUACCUUUUGUAUAAUGGGUCAGCGACUUAUAUUCUGUAGCAAGGUUAACCGAAUAGGGGAGCCGAAGGGAAACCGAGUCUUAACUGGGCGUUAAGUUGCAGGGUAUAGACCCGAAACCCGGUGAUCUAGCCAUGGGCAGGUUGAAGGUUGGGUAACACUAACUGGAGGACCGAACCGACUAAUGUUGAAAAAUUAGCGGAUGACUUGUGGCUGGGGGUGAAAGGCCAAUCAAACCGGGAGAUAGCUGGUUCUCCCCGAAAGCUAUUUAGGUAGCGCCUCGUGAAUUCAUCUCCGGGGGUAGAGCACUGUUUCGGCAAGGGGGUCAUCCCGACUUACCAACCCGAUGCAAACUGCGAAUACCGGAGAAUGUUAUCACGGGAGACACACGGCGGGUGCUAACGUCCGUCGUGAAGAGGGAAACAACCCAGACCGCCAGCUAAGGUCCCAAAGUCAUGGUUAAGUGGGAAACGAUGUGGGAAGGCCCAGACAGCCAGGAUGUUGGCUUAGAAGCAGCCAUCAUUUAAAGAAAGCGUAAUAGCUCACUGGUCGAGUCGGCCUGCGCGGAAGAUGUAACGGGGCUAAACCAUGCACCGAAGCUGCGGCAGCGACGCUUAUGCGUUGUUGGGUAGGGGAGCGUUCUGUAAGCCUGUGAAGGUGUACUGUGAGGUAUGCUGGAGGUAUCAGAAGUGCGAAUGCUGACAUAAGUAACGAUAAAGCGGGUGAAAAGCCCGCUCGCCGGAAGACCAAGGGUUCCUGUCCAACGUUAAUCGGGGCAGGGUGAGUCGACCCCUAAGGCGAGGCCGAAAGGCGUAGUCGAUGGGAAACAGGUUAAUAUUCCUGUACUUGGUGUUACUGCGAAGGGGGGACGGAGAAGGCUAUGUUGGCCGGGCGACGGUUGUCCCGGUUUAAGCGUGUAGGCUGGUUUUCCAGGCAAAUCCGGAAAAUCAAGGCUGAGGCGUGAUGACGAGGCACUACGGUGCUGAAGCAACAAAUGCCCUGCUUCCAGGAAAAGCCUCUAAGCAUCAGGUAACAUCAAAUCGUACCCCAAACCGACACAGGUGGUCAGGUAGAGAAUACCAAGGCGCUUGAGAGAACUCGGGUGAAGGAACUAGGCAAAAUGGUGCCGUAACUUCGGGAGAAGGCACGCUGAUAUGUAGGUGAAGUCCCUCGCGGAUGGAGCUGAAAUCAGUCGAAGAUACCAGCUGGCUGCAACUGUUUAUUAAAAACACAGCACUGUGCAAACACGAAAGUGGACGUAUACGGUGUGACGCCUGCCCGGUGCCGGAAGGUUAAUUGAUGGGGUUAGCGCAAGCGAAGCUCUUGAUCGAAGCCCCGGUAAACGGCGGCCGUAACUAUAACGGUCCUAAGGUAGCGAAAUUCCUUGUCGGGUAAGUUCCGACCUGCACGAAUGGCGUAAUGAUGGCCAGGCUGUCUCCACCCGAGACUCAGUGAAAUUGAACUCGCUGUGAAGAUGCAGUGUACCCGCGGCAAGACGGAAAGACCCCGUGAACCUUUACUAUAGCUUGACACUGAACAUUGAGCCUUGAUGUGUAGGAUAGGUGGGAGGCUUUGAAGUGUGGACGCCAGUCUGCAUGGAGCCGACCUUGAAAUACCACCCUUUAAUGUUUGAUGUUCUAACGUGGACCCGUAAUCCGGGUUGCGGACAGUGUCUGGUGGGUAGUUUGACUGGGGCGGUCUCCUCCUAAAGAGUAACGGAGGAGCACGAAGGUUGGCUAAUCCUGGUCGGACAUCAGGAGGUUAGUGCAAUGGCAUAAGCCAGCUUGACUGCGAGCGUGACGGCGCGAGCAGGUGCGAAAGCAGGUCAUAGUGAUCCGGUGGUUCUGAAUGGAAGGGCCAUCGCUCAACGGAUAAAAGGUACUCCGGGGAUAACAGGCUGAUACCGCCCAAGAGUUCAUAUCGACGGCGGUGUUUGGCACCUCGAUGUCGGCUCAUCACAUCCUGGGGCUGAAGUAGGUCCCAAGGGUAUGGCUGUUCGCCAUUUAAAGUGGUACGCGAGCUGGGUUUAGAACGUCGUGAGACAGUUCGGUCCCUA
RNAcentral lists this ribosomal RNA (2405 nucleotides) under Escherichia coli. Its description in RNAcentral is "partial 23S ribosomal RNA". It matches the Rfam family "Bacterial large subunit ribosomal RNA", at positions 211 to 2640 of the family's 2925-position model. Lineage: Bacteria; Pseudomonadati; Pseudomonadota; Gammaproteobacteria; Enterobacterales; Enterobacteriaceae. The record is from RNAcentral.